UAACUUGGCCUAGAUAUGUUUAUCUGUUCUGCCAUGUACUAGAUCUAUAGACUUUCUAAAAAAGUGUACAUUUUAUGAUAAUAACUAAGCAGUGAGUAGAGAAAAAAUUUAGUAGAAAAAUUAACAUGAUAGAUUCAAUGAUUUUUUUUUAAAGAAUAACAAACAAUUAUAUAAUAUAAGUUGCAAAUGGUGAGGAUUCCAAACCGUUUCAAGCAGGGUCAGUUACAGAGGAGAACAGAUAGUUUUUAAAGUUUUCGAAUACAUUUCAAUUCAAUCGGAAUGCAGUUGAAGAAUUUAGGGCCGAAGAAAAAGAAAGAUCUUUGCGUUAAAGAUUUUCUGAAAAGUUGUAUACUGAGAUUCAAAUUACUAGUGGAUCUGGUUAUUCCAGUUUUUCUCUGGUUAGAUGUUUCGUGUCUGAUGUACAUUCUUUUUAAACACUGAGAAUCAAGUGUAGUAUUGAAGGCCCCACCCCAUGCUGUAAUACAGUAGGUCAUUACAGAUUCAGCUAGGGAAUUGUAAAGUAAAAGGAGAUUUCUUCUGGUAAGUACGUCUCUCAGGAUAUAAAAACUGUGCAUCAAGACUCUUAAACGGUUAUUAACAUUUGUGAUGUGAUCUGACCAGCGCGUGCAUUGAUCUAAGACUACUCCUAAAUAUUUGAUUUUUUCCACUUUUUUUACUAUGGAACAUGUGCAAUCGAUCUUAUGACAGUUUGUGAUGUGUAAUUGUAUCAGAAUAUUUUUUGGUUGGGUAGUGACUGUUGGCGUAAAUGUGAGAAAUUUUGUUUUUUCAAUAUUCAGGGUGAGUUUGUUUAAGUUUAGCCAGUCGUGUAUUUUUUGCAAGUCAGUCUCAGUAGUUUCUUUUACUUCCUCCCAAGUUUCUCCUGUGAAGAUCAGAGCUGUAUCAUCUGCAUAACAAAAAUAGUGUCCUUUAAAUCCAUUAAUUCUUGUAAUAUCAUUCAUGUACACAAGGAACAGUAUCGGUCCUAAUACUGUCCCCUGUGGUACACCGAUUUUUACUUUUGAAACGUUACUUAUUUCUUGUCCAACUUUUACCUGUUGUACUCUACUUGUUAGGUAAUCAGUCAUAAGGUCAGCCGACAGACCACGUAUACCGUAAUGGUGCAGCUUAUUGAGUA
Molecule: long non-coding RNA, 1135 nt
Organism: Leptinotarsa decemlineata (Colorado potato beetle)
Lineage: Eukaryota; Metazoa; Arthropoda; Insecta; Coleoptera; Chrysomelidae
Source: RefSeq, a predicted model, not a curated record